GACGAACGCUGGCGGCGUGCUUAACACAUGCAAGUCGAACGGUGAAGCGCCUUCCUUUUUGGUGGGUGUGGAUGAGUGGCGAACGGGUGAGUAACACGUGAGUAACCUGCCCCCUUCUUCUGGAUAACCGCAUGAAAGUGUGGCUAAUACGGGAUAUUCUGGGUCUGUCGCAUGAUGGGUCUGGGAAAGAUAUUGCUUCGGUGGGGGAUGGGCUCGCGGCCUAUCAGCUUGUUGGUGGGGUGAUGGCCUACCAAGGCGGUGACGGGUAGCCGGCCUGAGAGGGUGGACGGUCACACGGGGACUGAGACACGGCCCAGACUCCUACGGGAGGCGGCAGUGGGGAAUAUUGCACAAUGGGCGCAAGCCUGAUGCAGCGACGCCGCGUGAGGGAUGGAGGCCUUCGGGUUGUGAACCUCUUUCGCCAGUGAAGCAGGCCUGCCUCGUUUGUGGGUGGGUUGACGGUAGCUGGAUAAGAAGCGCCGGCUAACUACGUG
This 494-nucleotide ribosomal RNA is filed under the name uncultured bacterium. RNAcentral's name for it is "partial 16S ribosomal RNA". It matches the Rfam family "Bacterial small subunit ribosomal RNA", at positions 28 to 507 of the family's 1533-position model. The record is from RNAcentral.